GCAAGUAGAACGCUGAAGAGAGGAGCUUGCUCUUCUUGGAUGAGUUGCGAACGGGUGAGUAACGCGUAGGUAACCUGCCUUGUAGCGGGGGAUAACUAUUGGAAACGAUAGCUAAUACCGCAUAACAAUGGGUGACACAUGUCAUUUAUUUGAAAGGGGCAAUUGCUCCGCUACAAGAUGGCCCUGCGUUGUAUUAGCUAGUGGGUGAGGUAACGGCUCACCUAGGCGACGAUACAGAGCCGACCUGAGAGGGUGAGC
This 258-nucleotide ribosomal RNA is filed under the name uncultured bacterium. RNAcentral's name for it is "partial 16S ribosomal RNA". It matches the Rfam family "Bacterial small subunit ribosomal RNA", at positions 57 to 305 of the family's 1533-position model. The record is from RNAcentral.